UACGAAGGGGGCUAGCGUUGCUCGGAAUCACUGGGCGUAAAGCGCACGUAGGCGGGUCUUUAAGUCGGAGGUGAAAUCCUGGAGCUCAACUCCAGAACUGCCCUUCGAUACUGAGGAUCUCGAGUCCGGGAGAGGUGAGUGGAACUGCGAGUGUAGAGGUGAAAUUCGUAGAUAUUCGCAAGAACACCAGUGGCGAAGGCGGACUCACUGGCCCGGUACUGACGCUGAGGUGACGAAAGCGUG
This 243-nucleotide ribosomal RNA is filed under the name uncultured bacterium. Its description in RNAcentral is "partial 16S ribosomal RNA". It matches the Rfam family "Bacterial small subunit ribosomal RNA", at positions 524 to 763 of the family's 1533-position model. The record is from RNAcentral.